This 837-nucleotide ribosomal RNA is filed under the name uncultured bacterium. Its description in RNAcentral is "bacterial SSU rRNA". It matches the Rfam family "Bacterial small subunit ribosomal RNA", at positions 565 to 1413 of the family's 1533-position model. The record is from RNAcentral.
GGGCGUGUAGGCGGCCUGGGGCGUCCCAUGUGAAAGACCACGGCUCAACCGUGGGGGAGCGUGGGAUACGCUCAGGCUAGACGGUGGGAGAGGGUGGUGGAAUUCCCGGAGUAGCGGUGAAAUGCGCAGAUACCGGGAGGAACGCCGAUGGCGAAGGCAGCCACCUGGUCCACCCGUGACGCUGAGGCGCGAAAGCGUGGGGAGCAAACCGGAUUAGAUACCCGGGUAGUCCACGCCCUAAACGAUGCGCGCUAGGUCUCUGGGUCUCCUGGGGGCCGAAGCUAACGCGUUAAGCGCGCCGCCUGGGGAGUACGGCCGCAAGGCUGAAACUCAAAGGAAUUGACGGGGGCCCGCACAAGCGGUGGAGCAUGUGGUUUAAUUCGGAGCAACGCGAAGAACCUUACCAGGCCUUGACAUGCUAGGGAACCCGGGUGAAAGCCUGGGAUGCCCCGCGAGGGGAGCCCUAGCACAGGUGCUGCAUGGCCGUCGUCAGCUCGUGCCGUGAGGUGUUGGGUUAAGUCCCGCAACGAGCGCAACCCCCGCCGUUAGUUGCCAGCGGGUGAGGCCGGGCACUCUAACGGGACUGCCCGCGAAAGCGGGAGGAAGGAGGGGACGACGUCUGGUCAGCAUGGGCCCUUACGGCCUGGUGACGCACGUGCUACAAUGCCCACUACAAAGCGAUGCCACCCGGCAACGGGGAGCUAAUCGCAAAAAGUGGCCCAGUCGGAUUGGGGUCUGCAACCCGACCUCAUGAAGCCGGAAUCGCUAGUAAUCGCGGAUCAGCAUGCGCGUGAUACGUUCCCGGGCUUGUACACACGCCGUCGCGCAUGGGAGCGG